Molecule: long non-coding RNA, 662 nt
Filed under: Musa acuminata (dwarf banana)
Lineage: Eukaryota; Viridiplantae; Streptophyta; Magnoliopsida; Zingiberales; Musaceae
Description: long non-coding RNA (MACU_LNC002225)
Source: RNAcentral
GUUUCUGCUGUUGUCGCUCUUGUCCUCAAUGGGGACGAAAUAGUUGCACAGAUCGGCCUUUGUCGACGGCGGCAUUCCUUCCCACCACUCGUUCUCCCCAAUUAUCUGCUCCAGUUUUGGCAUCCUCCCCACCGGAAGCCUUCUGAGGUUUGGGCACCGCUCCACCUUAAUGUUCUGCAAGCAAGGCAAGUCCUCCGUUUGGCUGAUGCUCCUCAGCUUGCGCAGGUCGCUCAGCACCACGGAUCUCAGCUUCGGAAACCCAUCCCUUCUCUGUUCACAUGCUUCGACACCCUUUUCCUCCACCUCGGGUACGCCGUUGGUUCUCGUGGAAGCCCCAUCACACCCCUCGUGUACGACCUCUUCCAAUUCGUCGCACUGGGAGAUGACGAGCCGCUCGAGGGAUUCCAGGCGUAGCACCCACGACACGUUGCGUAAUUUGGGGCAUGACUUGAUGGUGAGGUCGCGGAGGUGUUGGAAUCGAUGGGGCGCCGGCCCCAGCGAGACUCGGACGAGGUCGGGCAGAAACGCGAGCGUGAGCAGCUUCAGUUCAACUCGCUUCUUCGUCGGUGGAAUGCUGGUGUCUUCCGUCUCGACGUGAUCGACUAUUAGGUCUUGCAGUUGGUUGCAGCUGUCGAUGUAGAGCUCCUUGAGGUGCCUCAUCU